CACCUCUCAGGGUUGCACCUGGAGAGUUUCCAGUAUUCUACCAGUCUCGAUUCUGGGAGGGAGAAUCAAGCAGAGGCAUAUCCAUUCCAUUCCUAGCUUGGGCAGUGGCUAGCAAGUGAAGGCAAUCUGCUACAAGU
RNAcentral lists this small nucleolar RNA (137 nucleotides) under Ornithorhynchus anatinus (platypus). Lineage: Eukaryota; Metazoa; Chordata; Mammalia; Monotremata; Ornithorhynchidae. The record is from RNAcentral.